AAUCCUCUGAUCUCAUAUUUGUUGUAAGAGACAACUUUCUGAAACAUCCCCAAACAAAUUGAAAUCAUGAGAGAAGAAGAAACUAAUUGGCCCAUUCUGGGAUACAUCUUAUCUACUGACCAGAGGAGAGCACGGCAUAUUCUCUGCAAUACAUAAAUGGAGCUGUAUUUAUCAAAAUUAGAGGAUAUUCAUGCUGGAAAGGGAGAAGUAACAGUUGACAGGACCCUGAAGAUUUUCCUUUCGGUCAAUCAGUCAUCCUCCAUCAGUCCAUAUGAUUCCAAUAGAGUUGACUUCACCCCCGAUGUCCCCUCCAUUUACUCCUCAUUUUUGCUGUGAGGGAUUGUAGUUCUGUAAAAGAUCCCAGAUGAGAGCUCUGAGGAGUUGGCUUUAGUGUCCAGCACCAGGUAGGGAAAGCUUUGCAUCUUUGGAGCACAAAUAGGACAGAAACAGUGAAAGAUCACAUACAAUGGAGCCAGGGAAAAGCAGGACCUGGACAUGGAGUAAGCUAGUUUCAGGUGCUGAACAGAGGGCUGCAUUUAGGAGGCUGACUGCUUCCCAUAAACCCCAACAAAAGAAAAGGUGAAGCCACCUGGGUCUCUGGGAAGUCAUUCAUUGGAGAGAAAAUUUUAGCAUCUCUUCCAGCAGAUGAGCAGUACUUAGAGUCAAAGACCAGUCUUGGAGCAAAGAGAGGUUCAGGAAGGGGGAGAUCAGUGAUAACAUUUGAGUAAAAAUGAAGAGUUUAAUUUCAGUUCAACAGCCGAGAUUCUGGUGGGAACGAGAGACAUAAACGUACAGUACUAUUAAGCAAAUGGAAUGACAUGGAUGAACACAUUGGGUGGUGGUGUGCUGGCGAGACUGUUCAGGGACAACUUCCUGGUGGAAAUAAGAUCUGAGCCAUCUUAAAAGAAAUAUAAGAGUUAUGGGAGAGAAGUUCAUUGCAAGCCUGAGGUACAACAUGAGCAAGGAGCAAAGGUAGCAGAGUGACAAUAAGUGGGCAUGUUUGCGAGAAUCACCAGGUGUGUCUGUCAGAUCAGAAGCUGUUCAGAGCCUAAGCCCAAGGAAAGGAGAAGAUAGUAAGUGAGCUGGAGAAGGAAGCAGUGCCCACAUCAUGAAAGGCCUUUGGUAUCUUGAGACAGAAUUUGGUCAUUUUCCUGUAGAUCAGAGCUCACAAGUUGGUAAACCAUGAGCUAGGCAUGACCCUCAUAUAUUUUAUUUAUUUAUACAGU
Myotis myotis is the source of this 1226-nucleotide long non-coding RNA. RefSeq lists it as uncharacterized. The record is from RefSeq and is a predicted model, not a curated record. Lineage: Eukaryota; Metazoa; Chordata; Mammalia; Chiroptera; Vespertilionidae. The transcript is spliced from 3 exons.